RNAcentral lists this ribosomal RNA (256 nucleotides) under uncultured bacterium. Its description in RNAcentral is "partial small subunit ribosomal RNA". It matches the Rfam family "Bacterial small subunit ribosomal RNA", at positions 26 to 285 of the family's 1533-position model. The record is from RNAcentral.
AGGACGAACGCUGGCGGCGUGCUUCAUACAUGCAAGUCGAGCGGAAAGGCCCUUCGGGGUACUCGAGCGGCGAACGGGUGAGUAACACGUGAGCAACCUACCCCUGGCUCUGGGAUAACUCCUCGAAAGAGGUGCUAAUACCGGAUACGACUCCUGUCGACAUCGUCGGGAGUGGAAAGUUUUUUCGGCCAGGGAUGGGCUCGCGGCCUAUCAGCUUGUUGGUGAGGGUAACGGCCCACCAAGGCUUCGACGGGUA